AUGCUUCUCCUAAAGACUAAGCCAUGCAUGCCUUCGAAUAAGAGGAAGCAAUUCUCUCCGAAUCUGCGAACGGCUCCGCAAACCAGUUGUAAACUAUAGCAAGCAUGCUUGUGGCCGCCUUCGGGUGGCUGCGGGCGAUACGGAUAACCCUGGUAAUUCUGAGGCUAAUACGCGACCGUACAACCUGGCAGACCGGCUUCGGCUGGGAAACCGGGGGACGUGUGAUACAGGCUUGGUUUAACCGGGAAGGGGUGCACGUUCAGACCGCGCUAUAAAGGCCCAGACCCUUGCGGACUGGUCCCAGCGGCCUUUGCUGUGUGCUUCUGACCUAUCAACUAGACGGCAGCGCAAGGGACAUGCUAUGGUGACAACGGGUACAGAGGAUUAGGGUUCGAUCCUGGAGAGUGGGCCUGAGAGAUUGCUCAUACUUCUAAGGAAGGCAGCAGGCGCGCAACGUUCCCCUUGGGCAAUGCCCGAGGGCGUUAGGGGACAUAUGAAUGCCUGCCCAAUGGGUUGGCAAUUCAAAUGGGUCUGUUCUAAACAGGCUCU
Molecule: ribosomal RNA, 549 nt
Filed under: Lamproderma violaceum
Lineage: Eukaryota; Evosea; Eumycetozoa; Stemonitida; Stemonitidae
Description: SSU rRNA
Rfam family: Eukaryotic small subunit ribosomal RNA
Source: RNAcentral